This 490-nucleotide ribosomal RNA is filed under the name uncultured bacterium. RNAcentral's name for it is "partial 16S ribosomal RNA". It matches the Rfam family "Bacterial small subunit ribosomal RNA", at positions 28 to 507 of the family's 1533-position model. The record is from RNAcentral.
GAUGAACGCUCGCUACAGGCUUAACACAUGCAAGUCGCGGGGCAGCAUGGGGGUUGCUUGCAAUCCCCGAUGGCGACCGGUGCACGGGUGAGUAACGCGUAUCCAACCUGCCCUUCACCACGGGAUAACCCGGCGAAAGUCGGACUAAUACCGUAUGUUGUCCAUUGACGGCAUCCGAUUUGGACGAAAGGUUUGGCGGUGAAGGAUGGGGAUGCGUCCGAUUAGCUGGACGGCGGGGUGACGGCCCACCGUGGCGACGAUCGGUAGGGGUUCUGAGAGGAAGGUCCCCCACACUGGAACUGAGACACGGUCCAGACUCCUACGGGAGGCAGCAGUGAGGAAUAUUGGUCAAUGGGCGUAAGCCUGAACCAGCCAAGUAGCGUGCAGGAUGACGGCCCUAUGGGCUGUAAACUGCUUUUAUGCGGGGAUAAAGUGGCCCACGUGUGGGUUUUUGCAGGUACCGCAUGAAUAAGAACCGGCUAAUUCCGUG